AGAAAGUAGUAAGGGCGCUCAG
This 22-nucleotide unclassified non-coding RNA is filed under the name Mus musculus (house mouse). RNAcentral describes it as "oocyte_clustered_small_RNA5273". Lineage: Eukaryota; Metazoa; Chordata; Mammalia; Rodentia; Muridae. The record is from RNAcentral.